Molecule: ribosomal RNA, 497 nt
Filed under: uncultured bacterium
Lineage: Bacteria
Description: partial 16S ribosomal RNA
Rfam family: Bacterial small subunit ribosomal RNA
Source: RNAcentral
ACUCAAAGGAAUAGACGGGGGCCCGCACAAGCAGCGGAGCAUGUGGUUUAAUUCGAUGCAACGCGAAGAACCUUACCUGGGCUUGACAUGUUGGUGACCGCCGUGGAAACACGGUUUUCCUUCGGGACACCAUCACAGGUGGUGCAUGGCUGUCGUCAGCUCGUGUCGUGAGAUGUUGGGUUAAGUCCCGCAACGAGCGCAACCCGCGUCCUGUGUUGCCAGCAUUAAGUUGGGGACUCACAGGAGACUGCCGGUGACAAACCGGAGGAAGGUGCGGACGACGUCAAGUCAUCAUGCCCCUUAUGUCCAGGGCUACACACGUGCUACAUUGGCGCAUACAAAGGGUUGCGAUACCGUGAGGUGGAGCGAAUCCCAGAAAAUGCGUCUCGGUUCGGAUUGGAGGCUGCAACUCGCCUCCAUGAAGUUGGAGUUGCUAGUAAUCGCGGAUCAGCCAUGCCGCGGUGAAUACGUUCCCGGGCCUUGUACACACCGCCCGU